RNAcentral lists this ribosomal RNA (1234 nucleotides) under uncultured fungus. RNAcentral describes it as "eukaryotic LSU rRNA". The stretch from base 573 to 1234 matches the Rfam family "Eukaryotic large subunit ribosomal RNA", at positions 1 to 649 of the family's 3401-position model. Lineage: Eukaryota; Fungi. The record is from RNAcentral.
AAGUCGUAACAAGGUUUCCGUAGGUGAACCUGCGGAAGGAUCAUUAUUGAUUGUGAAUGGUUGCCUUCAGUGCUGGCUCCGGCAAGUGCACGCUGGUGACUUCAAUCCAAUACCCUUGUGAACCAUUGGCCUCUUGCUAGCUUCGGCUGGUAGAGGAUAUUUACACCAACUCGAAUGUAAUGAAAUUAUUGUUGUGCGCAAGCACUAAUGUACAACUUUCAACAACGGAUCUCUUGGCUCUCGCAUCGAUGAAGAACGCAGCGAAAUGCGAUAAGUAAUGUGAAUUGCAGAAUUCAGUGAAUCAUCGAAUCUUUGAACGCACCUUGCACCCUUUGGCAUUCCGAAGGGUAUGCUCGUUUGAGUGUCAUUGUACUCUCACACUUCCAAUUCUUUGGAUUGGGAGCGGUGGACUUGGGCGCUGCUGCUUUACUGUGGCUCACCUCAAAUGCAUUAGUGCAACCCUUGGUUAGACAUAGUACGGCGUGAUAAGUGUCUUCGCUGGCGCCUCACUUAGAGGGUGGCUGAUCAGGGGCUCUGUGCUUCAAACCGUCUUUGGACAAUGGCUGACAACUUGACCUCAAAUCGAGUAGGACUACCCGCUGAACUUAAGCAUAUCAAUAAGCGGAGGAAAAGAAACUAACAAGGAUUCCCCUAGUAACGGCGAGUGAAGAGGGAAGAGCUCAAAUUUUGAAUCUGGCGUCUUUGGCGUCCGAAUUGUAAUCUAGAGAAGUGUUUUCCGUGACGGACCGUGCAUAAGUCUCCUGGAAUGGAGUGUCAUAGAGGGUGAGAAUCCCGUAUAUGGCACGGACUCCCGUUGCUCUGUGAUACACUCUCGACGAGUCGAGUUGUUUGGGAAUGCAGCUCCAAAUGGGUGGUAAAUGCCAUCUAAAGCUAAAUAUUGGCGAGAGACCGAUAGCGAACAAGUACCGUGAGGGAAAGAUGAAAAGCACUUUGGAAAGAGAGUGAAACAGUACGUGAAAUUGUUGAAAGGGAAACGCUUGAAGUCAGUCGCGCCGUUCGGGAUUCAGCCUUGCUUCUGCUCGGUUUACUUCCCGUUGGGUGGGUCAACAUCAGUUCUAGACGGAGGAGAAAGGCUUGGGGAAGGUAGCAGCAUUCGUGCUGUGUUAUAGCCCCUUGUUGUAUACUUCGAUUGGGACUGAGGACUGCAGCACGCCUCUGGCCGGGGUUCGCCCACGUACGUGCUAGGAUGUUGGCAUAAUGGCUUUAAGCGACC